GCAGUGAUGGCUCAGCGGCAGAAUUCCCGCCUUUCAUGCAGGAGACCCAGGUUUGAUUUCUGGCUAAUGCA
Molecule: transfer RNA, 71 nt
Filed under: Loxodonta africana (African savanna elephant)
Lineage: Eukaryota; Metazoa; Chordata; Mammalia; Proboscidea; Elephantidae
Rfam family: tRNA
About the family: Transfer RNA (tRNA) molecules are approximately 80 nucleotides in length. Their secondary structure includes four short double-helical elements and three loops (D, anti-codon, and T loops).
Source: Rfam by way of RNAcentral